This 377-nucleotide ribosomal RNA is filed under the name uncultured organism. RNAcentral describes it as "partial 16S ribosomal RNA". It matches the Rfam family "Bacterial small subunit ribosomal RNA", at positions 527 to 896 of the family's 1533-position model. The record is from RNAcentral.
GUAGGUGGCAAGCGUUGUCCGGGAAUUAUUGGGGCGUAAAGCGCGCGCAGGCGGUUCUUUAAGUCUGGAUGUGAAAGCCCACGGGCUCAACCGUGGGAGGGUCAUUGGAAACUGGAGAACUUGAGUACAGAAGAGGAAAGCGGAAUUCCACGUGUAGCGGUGAAAUGCGUAGAGAUGUGGAGGAACACCAGUGGCGAAGGCGGCUCUCUGGUCUGUAACUGACGCUGAGGCGCGAAAGCGUGGGGAGCAAACAGGAUUAGAUACCCUGGUAGUCCACGCCGUAAACGAUGAGUGCUAAGUGUUAGGGGGCUUCCGCCCCUUAGUGCUGCAGCUAACGCAUUAAGCACUCCGCCUGGGGAGUACGGCCGCAAAGGCUG